RNAcentral lists this transfer RNA (68 nucleotides) under Marmota monax (woodchuck). Its description in RNAcentral is "tRNA.Val". The record is from RNAcentral. Lineage: Eukaryota; Metazoa; Chordata; Mammalia; Rodentia; Sciuridae.
GGAUUGUGGCUCAGGGGUAGAGCGCUUGCCUCACAUGUGCGAGACCUUGGGUUCGAUCCUCAGCACCA